UACGGAGGGUGCGAGCGUUAAUCGGAAUUACUGGGCGUAAAGCGCGCGUAGGCGGCCAUUUAAGCUAGAUGUGAAAGCCCAGGGCUUAACCUUGGAAUUGCAUUUAGAACUGAAUGGCUAGAGUAUGGGAGAGGAGUGUGGAAUUUCCGGUGUAGCGGUGAAAUGCGUAGAGAUCGGAAGGAACACCAGUGGCGAAGGCGACACUCUGGCCCAAUACUGACGCUGAGGUGCGAAGGCGUGGGGAUCAAACAGG
This 253-nucleotide ribosomal RNA is filed under the name uncultured bacterium. RNAcentral describes it as "partial 16S ribosomal RNA". It matches the Rfam family "Bacterial small subunit ribosomal RNA", at positions 524 to 776 of the family's 1533-position model. The record is from RNAcentral.